GCCAGGCAUGGUGGUGCAUGCCUGUAAUCCCAGUUACUUGGGAGGCUGAGGCAGGAGAAUUGCUCGAACCUGGGAGGUGGAGGUUGCAGUAAGCCGGGAUCACACCACUGCACUCCACCCUGGGUGACAGAGCAAGACUCUGUCUCGA
RNAcentral lists this small RNA (148 nucleotides) under Pongo abelii (Sumatran orangutan). Its description in RNAcentral is "Metazoan signal recognition particle RNA (ENSPPYG00000031554.1)". The record is from Rfam by way of RNAcentral. Lineage: Eukaryota; Metazoa; Chordata; Mammalia; Primates; Hominidae.